CACGAAGAGGCAUGAGCUAAGGAUAGUAUAUAGUAGUAAAAAAGUGUUGCAUAAUGUGAAGAACUGUCCUUAGGGGUGACAGGCCAAACAAAUGUCUUGAUAUCUUGUUAACCUCGAAACUUAUUUAGUAUAAGGCAAUUCUAAAGUGCUAAAAUUUUAGAUCGUAAUAAACUCACACGACUCAGAUUUAUUAAGUGUAAAAGCGUAUAAGUAGCUAAUAUAAUAUCAAUUUGAUUAAAUUAUUUAAACUAGUGGAAAAUAUUAUAAUAGUAAUUUAUAUUUAUAAUGUUAAUAUUAGUAAUAACUAAGGUAUACCAAAUGAACUCGGCUAAAUUUUCUCGACUGUUUAUCAAAAACAUAGCUUAAUGUGCUUAUAUUAAGUGCUUCCUGCUCAAUGAUUACUUAAAUAGCCGCAGUACUUUGACUGUGCAAAGGUAGCAUAAUCAAUUGGCUUAUAAUUGAAGUCUAGAAUGAAAGGAUAUACGGGGAAUUACUCUAUCUGGUAUUUAACAUAAAAUUGGUUUUCAAGUGCAAAUACUUGUAAAUAAUUGAUAGACGAGAAGACCCUAGAAAUUUGCGACACUGUUUAGUUGGGGCAACGUAGUAGGAGAAAACCUACAGUAAGGACAAGAAAUAGAUUAGUAAGAAAAAAUUACUCUAGGGAUAACAGCAUAAUUUAUUAAAGUUUGUGACCUCGAUGUUGGAUUUGGGAAUUAUAGUUCAGA
RNAcentral lists this ribosomal RNA (725 nucleotides) under Rhagada biggeana. Its description in RNAcentral is "partial 16S ribosomal RNA". The stretch from base 336 to 490 matches the Rfam family "Archaeal large subunit ribosomal RNA", at positions 1885 to 2088 of the family's 2987-position model. The record is from RNAcentral. Lineage: Eukaryota; Metazoa; Mollusca; Gastropoda; Stylommatophora; Camaenidae.